GCCAGCAGCCAUAUCACCCUGCAACUCACAACUGGCAGCCCACUGAAGCUAAAGGUGUGAGCCUGGUCAGUACCUGGAUGGGACCUCCUGGGAAAAACUAAGGUUGCUGCUGGAA
RNAcentral lists this ribosomal RNA (115 nucleotides) under Lepisosteus oculatus (spotted gar). Lineage: Eukaryota; Metazoa; Chordata; Actinopteri; Semionotiformes; Lepisosteidae. The record is from RNAcentral.